GAAGUCUAAAAAUCACACGUGGUGGCCG
This 28-nucleotide small RNA is filed under the name Bombyx mori (domestic silkworm). RNAcentral describes it as "ovarian small RNA-15268". Lineage: Eukaryota; Metazoa; Arthropoda; Insecta; Lepidoptera; Bombycidae. The record is from RNAcentral.